Molecule: ribosomal RNA, 259 nt
Filed under: uncultured bacterium
Lineage: Bacteria
Description: partial 16S ribosomal RNA
Rfam family: Bacterial small subunit ribosomal RNA
Source: RNAcentral
CACGUAGGCACCAAGCGUUGUCCGGAUUUAUUGGGCGUAAAGAGCUCGUAGGCGGUUCGGUAAGUCGGGUGUGAAAACUUUGGGCUCAACCCAAAGCUUGCACUCGAUACUGCUGUGACUUGAGUCCGGUAGGGGAGGUGGGGAAUUCCUGGUGUAGCGGUGGAAAUGCGCAGAUAUCAGGAAGAACACCCGUGGCUAAGGCGGCUCUCUAGUACGGUACUGACGCUGAAGACGGCGAAAGCGUGGGGGAGCGAACAGG